ACGAACGCUGGCGGCGUGCCUAAUACACGCAAGUUGAGCGCUGAAGGUUGGUACUUGUACCCACUGGAUGAGCAGCGAACGGGUGAGUAACGCGUGGGGAAUCUGCCUUUGAGCGGGGGACAACAUUUGGAAACGAAUGCUAAUACCGCAUAAAAACUUUAAACACAAGUUUUAAGUUUGAAAGAUGCAAUUGCAUCACUCAAAGAUGAUCCCGCGUUGUAUUAGCUAGUUGGUGAGGUAAAGGCUCACCAAGGCGAUGAUACAUAGCCGACCUGAGAGGGUGAUCGGCCACAUUGGGAAUGAGACACGGCCCAAACUCCUACGGGAGGCAGCAGUAGGGAAUCUUCGGCAAUGGACGAAAGUCUGACCGAGCAACGCCGCGUGAGUGAAGAAGGUUUUCGGAUCGUAAAACUCGGUUGGUAGAGAAGAACGUUGGUGAGAGUGGAAAGCUCAUCAAGUGACGGUAACUACACAGAAAGGGACGGCUAACUACGUG
RNAcentral lists this ribosomal RNA (496 nucleotides) under uncultured bacterium. RNAcentral's name for it is "partial 16S ribosomal RNA". It matches the Rfam family "Bacterial small subunit ribosomal RNA", at positions 29 to 507 of the family's 1533-position model. The record is from RNAcentral.